ACAGCAGCCGCCGCGGUAAUACGAAGGGUGCAAGCGUUACUCGGAAUUACUGGGCGUAAAGCGUGCGUAGGUGGUGGUUUAAGUCCGUUGUGAAAGCCCUGGGCUCAACCUGGGAAUUGCAGUGGAUACUGGGUCACUAGAGUGUGGUAGAGGAUAGUGGAAUUUCCGGUGUAGCAGUGAAAUGCGUAGAGAUCGGAAGGAACAUCUGUGGCGAAGGCGACUAUCUGGGCCAACACUGACACUGAGGCACGAAAGCGUGGGGAGCAAACAGGAUUAGAUACCCGUGUAGUCCCUGUCUCUUAUAC
This 305-nucleotide ribosomal RNA is filed under the name uncultured bacterium. RNAcentral describes it as "partial 16S ribosomal RNA". It matches the Rfam family "Bacterial small subunit ribosomal RNA", at positions 508 to 807 of the family's 1533-position model. The record is from RNAcentral.